UUAUACGGGAGGCAGCAGUGGGGAAUAUUGCACAAUGGGGGAAACCCUGAUGCAGCCAUGCCGCGUGUGUGAAGAAGGCCUUCGGGUUGUAAAGCACUUUCAGUUGUGAGGAAAAGUUAGUAGUUAAUACCUGCUAGCCGUGACGUUAACAACAGAAGAAGCACCGGCUAACUCCGUGCCAGCAGCCGCGGUAAUACGGAGGGGGCGAGCGUUAAUCGGAAUUACUGGGCGUAAAGCGCACGCAGGCGGUUUGUUAACCUAGAUGUGAAAGCCCCGGGCUCAACCUGGGAUGGUCAUUUAGAACUGGCAGACUAGAGUCUUGGAGAGGGGAGUGGAAUUCCAGGUGUAGCGGUGAAAUGCGUAGAUAUCUGGAGGAACAUCAGUGGGGAAGGCGACUCCCUGGCCAAAGACUGACGCUCAUGUGCGAAAGUGUGGGUAGCGAAAAGGAUUAAAUACCCUGGUAGUCCACACCGCAAACGCUUGCCACUAGCUGUGUGUGCCUUAAGAACGGCGUACCGAACUAACGCGCCUAGAAAACCGCCU
This 543-nucleotide ribosomal RNA is filed under the name bacterium A3S_VP5_E8. RNAcentral's name for it is "bacterial SSU rRNA". It matches the Rfam family "Bacterial small subunit ribosomal RNA", at positions 337 to 874 of the family's 1533-position model. The record is from RNAcentral.